CGUCGUAUAGUAUAAAAGUAGUACAAAAGAUUGUAAAUUUUUAGGCGCGUAAAAAUGCUGCGAUGU
This 66-nucleotide transfer RNA is filed under the name Magallana ariakensis (Suminoe oyster). RNAcentral describes it as "tRNA-Tyr". It matches the Rfam family "tRNA". Rfam says of the family: Transfer RNA (tRNA) molecules are approximately 80 nucleotides in length. Their secondary structure includes four short double-helical elements and three loops (D, anti-codon, and T loops). Further hydrogen bonds mediate the characteristic L-shaped molecular structure. tRNAs have two regions of fundamental functional importance: the anti-codon, which is responsible for specific mRNA codon recognition, and the 3' end, to which the tRNAs corresponding amino acid is attached (by aminoacyl-tRNA synthetases). tRNAs cope with the degeneracy of the genetic code in two manners: having more than one tRNA (with a specific anti-codon) for a particular amino acid; and 'wobble' base-pairing, i.e. permitting non-standard base-pairing at the 3rd anti-codon position. The record is from RNAcentral. Lineage: Eukaryota; Metazoa; Mollusca; Bivalvia; Ostreida; Ostreidae.